UGCCUGUUUAUCAAAAACAUAGCCCUUAGCAAUACACAAGUAUUAAGGGUCAUGCCUGCCCAGUGACACUGUUAAACGGCCGCGGUAUCCUAACCGUGCAAAGGUAGCGUAAUCACUUGUCUUUUAAAUAAAGACUAGAAUGAAUGGCCAAACGAGGUUUUACCUGUCUCUUACAAAUAAUCAGUGAAAUUGAUCUUCCCGUGCAAAAUCGAGAAUGACAUUAUAAGACGAGAAGACCCUGUGGAACUUCAAAUAUUUAUCAAGUACUACCAAUUUAUACCUAAGGGAUUAAACAAACUAGUACUUCUUGAUCCUUAUUUUUGGUUGGGGUGACCUCGGAGAAUAGCAAAACCUCCGAAAAAAGAACAUACUUCUAUACUUAGAUCUACAGUUCAAAGUGCCUGCGGCAAAAUGAUCCAAUAUAUUUGAUCAACGAACCAAGCUACCCCAGGGAUAACAGCGCAAUCCCACCUAAGAGUCCUUAUCGACGGUGGGGUUUACGACCUCGAUGUUGGAUCAGGACAUCCUGAUGGUGCAACCGCUAUCAAGGGUUCGUUUGUUCAACGAUUAACAGUCCUACGUGAUCUGAGUUCAGAACCGGAG
RNAcentral lists this ribosomal RNA (603 nucleotides) under Chelydra serpentina (North American snapping turtle). RNAcentral describes it as "partial 16S ribosomal RNA". It matches the Rfam family "Bacterial large subunit ribosomal RNA", at positions 1797 to 2623 of the family's 2925-position model. Lineage: Eukaryota; Metazoa; Chordata; Testudines; Chelydridae. The record is from RNAcentral.